CGACAAGAGAAGUGACAAACAUUGUGGGCUUGCAGAACGUCAAGCGACGGCACUGAAAGAGAGUAGGCUACAAGCCAGUCAAACAUUGCUAGUGAAACCUGCAGUUUGAGGAUGGGAAGAUGAUUGUGGCGGCACAGUCCUUCAGCUCGGGAAGCAGUGCUUCUGUGGAGCUCACUGAGGAGGAGAAGGCCUUCGCUGAGCAGAUGAUGCUGUGCAGUCAGUAAUGUGAGGAAGGUGUCCCUAGAACUGGGGGAUAAAUCUCCUCUCAUCAUCUUCAGUGACAUGGACAAGGCUGUGCGCAGGGUCAGUGGACCUUCACUGUAUCUUCAUUAAAUAAUUCAAAUGUUACCGCAAUUUCAAUGAUGGUCACUACCUAACAGUAAUAUACAAAUAUGAAUAUUUGAUAUAUUCUUUAAUAUAAAUGUUUCUGAAUAUUGUAAGGCAUCAAUAACAGUGUAUUUCAGACCAUGAGCUCUGUGUUUUUCAACGAGGGAGAGAACUGCAUUGAAGCAGGCAGACUCUAUGUGGGAGAGAACAUCUAUGACCAGUAUGUCAAGAGUGGUAUGUGCCUCAAGCGCUAACUUAGCUCUCUGCCAUCUUAUCUCACAACGUUAUGCCACCUUACUACAUUUUCUCACAGCGUGCUGCUAACUUAGCCACGUGCUAUUUUAUCUUACAGCAUGAUGCUAAUUUAGCCAUCUGUUACCUUAUCUCACAGCGCUAUGCUAACUUAGCCAUCCACUACCUUAUCUCAAGUGGAGGUUAAAAAUAUAAAGAUUGGGGAUCCUCUGGAUUGCUUCACAGACCACAGACCCCAGAACCACAAGGUCCACCUGGAAAAGCUGGUGCAGUAAUGCCAGACUGGCGUGAAGGAGGGCGCCACUCUGUUGUGUGGGGGAAGACCGGUCUCCCGCCCAGGUUAGACACAUGGACCCGUUUUCAGUUCAUAGCGCUCUAGAUUUUACUAAAAUAAGCUGUGAUGCAGAGUUUGGGCAAUGUCAAUCCAAUUCCAGUCCAUUCAGAAAUGUAAUUGAAUAUCACUAUGCUCAGGGCCCUGGGUCUGAACCCCUCCCUGUGCAACUGGGUCAUGGACUUCCU
This is an RNA transcript of Coregonus clupeaformis (lake whitefish), 1098 nucleotides long. It is a transcript of the gene named cytosolic 10-formyltetrahydrofolate dehydrogenase-like, with no coding region annotated. NCBI's taxonomy places the organism in Eukaryota, Metazoa, Chordata, Actinopteri, Salmoniformes, Salmonidae. The record is from RefSeq and is a predicted model, not a curated record. The transcript has 3 exons.